This 281-nucleotide ribosomal RNA is filed under the name uncultured Acidobacteriota bacterium. RNAcentral describes it as "uncultured Acidobacteria bacterium partial 16S ribosomal RNA". It matches the Rfam family "Bacterial small subunit ribosomal RNA", at positions 152 to 415 of the family's 1533-position model. The record is from RNAcentral. Lineage: Bacteria; Pseudomonadati; Acidobacteriota.
GGAAACUUGGGCUAAUACCGCAUAAUGCAGCGGCACCACAUGGUGACAUUCCGAUAACUAUAAGAGGAUCUUCGGAUCUCGCGCCUGAAGAGGAGCCUGCGGCAGAUUAGCUAGUUGGUAAGGUAACGGCUUACCAAGGCGACGAUCUGUAGCCGGCCUGAGAGGGCGGUCGGCCACACUGACACUGACAUACGGGUCAGACUCCUACGGGAGGCAGCAGUCGGGAAUUUUGGGCAAUGGGCGAAAGCCUGACCCAGCAACGCCGCGUGAAGGAUGAAAUC